Caenorhabditis elegans is the source of this 150-nucleotide non-coding RNA. The record is from Ensembl. NCBI's taxonomy places the organism in Eukaryota, Metazoa, Nematoda, Chromadorea, Rhabditida, Rhabditidae.
CUGUGUGUGUCUCUAUAUGUGUGAGAGAAUAUAUGCGCGCGCAUGUGUGGCGUGCAGCUAACCAGUAUUUGACAUGAAUUAGAUAUGUGAGCAACUGCAAUGGGAAAAUAGUGAAGAAGCGCCGGGCCGCCGGACGGCGUCUACAACAAC